RNAcentral lists this non-coding RNA (45 nucleotides) under Schistosoma curassoni. The record is from RNAcentral. Lineage: Eukaryota; Metazoa; Platyhelminthes; Trematoda; Strigeidida; Schistosomatidae.
CGAGGCUGAGGAGUCCCAUACCAGGACGAAACGGCCGUCCAGUGC